Molecule: ribosomal RNA, 274 nt
Filed under: uncultured bacterium
Lineage: Bacteria
Description: partial 16S ribosomal RNA
Rfam family: Bacterial small subunit ribosomal RNA
Source: RNAcentral
AUACAGAGGGUGCGAGCGUUAAGCGGAAUUACUGGGCGUAAAGGGCGCGUAGGCGGAUUGGUAAGUCGGAUGUGAAAGCCCUGGGCUUAACCUGGGAAUGCCAUUCGAUACUGCCAGACUAGAGUAUGGGAGAGGGAAGCGGAAUUCCGGGUGUAGCGGUGAAAUGCGUAGAGAUCCGGAGGAACACCAGUGGCGAAGGCGGCUUCCUGGACCAAUACUGACGCUGAGGCGCGAAAGCGUGGGGAGCAAACAGGAUUAGAAACCCCGGUAGUCC